Anastrepha ludens (Mexican fruit fly) is the source of this 506-nucleotide long non-coding RNA. RefSeq lists it as uncharacterized. The record is from RefSeq and is a predicted model, not a curated record. NCBI's taxonomy places the organism in Eukaryota, Metazoa, Arthropoda, Insecta, Diptera, Tephritidae. The transcript is spliced from 3 exons.
GCUUUUGCGGUAAGAAAAUGAAAUUGCGUUGAACCGCAAGAAAUCACUGCCGCCAUCAAACUGACGACAAAUGAAUGGUUUGGAACUUUGUAAGCCCAGCAGCCAACAGGCAGCAGACGACCAAGUCAGCAGAAAAUUGUUUAAAGGCUGAAACCAAAAACGUCGCGCGCUGAGCACCAAAAACAACAAAACCAAAUGGGCAACGGGCAUAUGGAUGGCUCAUAUCAUCAGCUCAAACCUAUCAGCAUCUUUGGCUCAAUUAAAGCACAGAUUUUCCAUAAAAAACUGAAGUUCGAAUGGGGCGCUCAUAAAGCGAUUUGUGACGAAAAAUAUAAACACAAGUACUCGCAGAGAUAAGCUGGCAAUCACUCAGUGCAGCUGCAGGGUUAGAAGAGACAACAAAUCUAUAGAGCAAGAAGGGUUAAUGAGAUGAUUUCAACAUUUUUUCCACAAAAAGCCUACGCAAUAAUAUUUUUUAUACUCGUAUUGAUAAUGAAGAUGUUUUA